AUUCAUCGCGUUAUCGAUGCUGACGUUGAGUGUAUAGUAUGACAAAUGACGUUUUAACGUUGAUUGCAUCUGUCAUUUUUCGAUUUAGCAACGAACGUGUGCACUUUUCUUCUGGUAGAACGUCGCGAUCCGUUGGGUGUCGGUCUACGAUUUGCAUUGGAGAUCAAAUGAUCCAUGCUUUUGUGUGGAACCGUUUGAACUUGCAUUUCUCCGACCGACUCGCUUGACGGUAUAAGAACGGUUUAGGGCCGCUCGCUCUUUCGAGAGAAGCGUUCGACUCUGGGCAAGCGCGCCAGUUGUUUCGAUGAUUGGACUUUGUGCUGAUCCCGUUCACUGGUGACUGUUGGCCCAGAUGUUCUCGAACCGACCCCGAAAAUUUAUUAAAAACCGAUCUGCGGCGCUAUAGCUUUGGGUACUUUCAGGACCCGUCUUGAAACACGGACCAAGGAGUCUAGCAUGUACGCAAGUCAUUGGGACUAAUUAAACCUAAAGGCAAAAUGAAAGUAAAGAUUUUCCUUGCGAGAAUCUAGGGAGGACGAGUGGUUUAACAUUUAAAAACCGCUUUGCACUCCCGGGGCGUCUCAUUCUCAUUGCGAGAAGAGGCGCACCAAGAGCGUACACGCUGGGACCCGAAAGAUGGUGAACUAUGCCUGGUCAGGAUGAAGUCAGGGGAAACCCUGAUGGAGGUCCGUAGCGAUUCUGACGUGCAAAUCGAUCGUCG
Molecule: ribosomal RNA, 721 nt
Filed under: Scolytoplatypus permirus
Lineage: Eukaryota; Metazoa; Arthropoda; Insecta; Coleoptera; Curculionidae
Description: eukaryotic LSU rRNA
Rfam family: Eukaryotic large subunit ribosomal RNA
Source: RNAcentral